GACGAACGCUGGCGGCGUGCUUAACACAUGCAAGUCGAACGGAAAGGCCCUGCUUUUGUGGGGUGCUCGAGUGGCGAACGGGUGAGUAACACGUGAGUAACCUGCCCUUGACUUUGGGAUAACUUCAGGAAACUGGGGCUAAUACCGGAUAGGAGCUCCUGCUGCAUGGUGGGGGUUGGAAAGUUUCGGCGGUUGGGGAUGGACUCGCGGCUUAUCAGCUUGUUGGUGGGGUAGUGGCUUACCAAGGCUUUGACGGGUAGCCGGCCUGAGAGGGUGACCGGCCACAUUGGGACUGAGAUACGGCCCAGAAUCCUACGGGAGGCAGCAGUGGGGAAUAUUGCGCAGUGGCGGGGAGCCUGAUGCGACAACGCCGCGUGCGGGAUAACGGCCUUCGAGUUGUAAACAACUUUCGCCUGUGACGAAGCGUUAGUGACGGUAAUGGGUAAAGAAGCACCGGCUAACUACGUG
RNAcentral lists this ribosomal RNA (468 nucleotides) under uncultured bacterium. RNAcentral describes it as "partial 16S ribosomal RNA". It matches the Rfam family "Bacterial small subunit ribosomal RNA", at positions 28 to 507 of the family's 1533-position model. The record is from RNAcentral.